RNAcentral lists this ribosomal RNA (253 nucleotides) under uncultured bacterium. Its description in RNAcentral is "partial 16S ribosomal RNA". It matches the Rfam family "Bacterial small subunit ribosomal RNA", at positions 524 to 776 of the family's 1533-position model. The record is from RNAcentral.
UACGUAGGGGGCUAGCGUUGUCCGGAUUUAUUGGGCGUAAAGAGCGUGUAGGCGGCCAGGUAGGUCUGCUGUGAAAACUCGAGGCUCAACCUCGAGACGUCGGCGGAAACCAUCUGGCUAGAGUCCGGAAGAGGGUCGUGGAAUUCCCAGUGUAGAGGUGAAAUUCGUAGAUAUUGGGAAGAACAUCUGUGGCGAAGGCGGCCAUCUGGACCAGCACUGACACUGAGGCACGAAAGCGUGGGGAGCAAACAGG